UUGAUACAGCUAAGCUGGCUACAUUGCUGUGUUAUAUAAAUACCAAUUGUGUGUCAGUUGAUAAAAAGCUUCCAAGUGUUUAAUAACUGGCUUAGGAGUAAUUUUUCUGGAGUUUGCUAGCUUUUCCACGGCAAGAACAUCCCAGCAUUUGGAAUCCAUCUGCAGUGACUGUGAGUCCAACGUUCUCCGUACAAACAUGGUGGAGGAAUCUGAGAUUUGAACUGUUUAUCCCCUGUGGCUCCUUACAAGCAUCGGUAAAAGCAAUCUUUUUCAAACUUGAUGAGACACUGCUUUUUUUCCCAUCCUAUCUCACAUUUUCAUUUCCAGAUUUACCCACUGGAGGAGAGACUCACUCAUGGAUACGUGGCCCUUCAUCAGUGCUGGUACCAUGUUCAUUUUUCAUGCCAUAUAGUUGCUGUGGAACAACACCAGGAAAUAAUACAGUAUUCUCCUGAAGCCAAGAUCACCAGGAUGAUCAUGAGGGAUUUUUAAGCAUUCUUGCAACACAAAGCUACUGCAAACCCAGCUUACCUGGCAGGUGACGUCCUUUCUUACAGGUGCUUUUUAUCUCUGAGCUGAGCAAAGUACUUGAAAUAUGCUUUCAUCUGAUCUGGAGGUAGGUUGAGCUGAGAAGGAACUGGCUUGCCAGUCGGAGAUAGAAAGGAGAUAUAGGAACCUUGCAUCAGACCUUGAACAGUAAGAUGACUGAUUAAGCCUGGGAGAAGUACUAAUCAAGGUUCACCCAGAAAGUGCCCAUGGUUUCCUGUGAAUGAAGCUUUGUCACAGGUGUGAAUGAAGUUUUGUCACAGAGCCAUCGGAGCUGGCCUAGUGCUGGGCUUGGGAGCUCUUGGCACAGAUCCAUGGCUAUCCUUCCUCCAGCACCUACCUGGGUCCUGGGGGUGUACAGCUGUGUUCGUAUGGAGCUCAGCAUGAGCUGAAUUCCCCGGGAGCUUACUUGGGGGUCCCUGCCCCUGCAGUAGUGGGCAGGAGAAACCAGACACUUUUGGGUAAUUCUUCAUCAGUUCCCCAUAAGUCAGUGUGGGUCCAUGCAGUGGGACUUAUGUUACUUGAAUUUUUCCAUUAUCGGGGCUAAGCCAGCCCUCAUAAGCUGGAUAAUGAAAACUGGCCUCAUGUUGAAGAUGAGUAACAGAGCAUAGCUUUCUGUGGCAGCAGAAGUCAGUUUAAGUGAUCGCUUCUCUCCUUACACAUUUAUUGCCCUAUU
This 1222-nucleotide long non-coding RNA is filed under the name Struthio camelus australis. RNAcentral describes it as "lncRNA (ENSSCUG00000008013.1)". The record is from RNAcentral. Lineage: Eukaryota; Metazoa; Chordata; Aves; Struthioniformes; Struthionidae.